GCUACAUCAAUGGCUGGUUCCGUUGUCACAAGGGCUCACGUGGUUGCUGCUGAGUUUACUUUCCAUUUACAAGAAGCAGUAUACUUCUUCACCAGGGAAGCUGUGUGUUUUUCUUGCAAGCUUACUAGCAGCAUUUCUUUGUAUUUCAUCCGUAUGGCAAGUAAUCAUAGAGAAUGUAGUGUACACAAAAUCAGUCUUGGACAUGCUACCACUACUAGGAGUGGUUUUAGUGACCGUUUCUGCAUCCAAAGGCCAACGGGAUAUAAG
Molecule: unclassified non-coding RNA, 267 nt
Filed under: Hevea brasiliensis (rubber tree)
Lineage: Eukaryota; Viridiplantae; Streptophyta; Magnoliopsida; Malpighiales; Euphorbiaceae
Source: RNAcentral